This 595-nucleotide ribosomal RNA is filed under the name uncultured Bacteroidota bacterium. RNAcentral's name for it is "bacterial SSU rRNA". It matches the Rfam family "Bacterial small subunit ribosomal RNA", at positions 122 to 715 of the family's 1533-position model. Lineage: Bacteria; Pseudomonadati; Bacteroidota. The record is from RNAcentral.
CAACCUGCCCACCACUUGGGGAUAACCUUGCGAAAGUAAGACUAAUACCCAAUGACGUCUCUAGAAGACAUCUGAAAGAGAUUAAAGAUUUAUCGGUGAUGGAUGGGGAUGCGUCUGAUUAGCUUGUUGGCGGGGUAACGGCCCACCAAGGCGACGAUCAGUAGGGGUUCUGAGAGGAAGGUCCCCCACAUUGGAACUGAGACACGGUCCAAACUCCUACGGGAGGCAGCAGUGAGGAAUAUUGGUCAAUGGACGAGAGCCUGAACCAGCCAAGUAGCGUGCAGGAUGACGGCCCUAUGGGUUGUAAACUGCUUUUGUAAGGGAAUAAAGUGAGUCUCGUGAGACUUUUUGCAUGUACCUUAUGAAUAAGGACCGGCUAAUUCCGUGCCAGCAGCCGCGGUAAUACGGAAGGUCCGGGCGUUAUCCGGAUUUAUUGGGUUUAAAGGGAGCGUAGGCCGGAGAUUAAGCGUGUUGUGAAAUGUAGACGCUCAACGUCUGCACUGCAGCGCGAACUGGUUUCCUUGAGUACGCACAAAGUGGGCGGAAUUCGUGGUGUAGCGGUGAAAUGCUUAGAUAUCACGAAGAACUCCGAUUG